GACGGAGGAUGCAAGUGUUAUCCGGAAUCACUGGGCGUAAAGCGUCUGUAGGUGGUUCGAAAAGUCCACUGUUAAAAAUUGAGGCUUAACUUCAAAGAUGCCGUGGAAACUUUCAAACUAGAGUAUGGUAGGGGUAGAGGGAAUUUCCAGUGGAGCGGUGAAAUGCGUAGAUAUUGGAAAGACCACCGAUGGCGAAGGCAGCUC
This 204-nucleotide ribosomal RNA is filed under the name uncultured bacterium. RNAcentral describes it as "partial 16S ribosomal RNA". It matches the Rfam family "Bacterial small subunit ribosomal RNA", at positions 524 to 728 of the family's 1533-position model. The record is from RNAcentral.